Long non-coding RNA from Cavia porcellus (domestic guinea pig), 3566 nucleotides. RefSeq lists it as uncharacterized. The record is from RefSeq and is a predicted model, not a curated record. NCBI's taxonomy places the organism in Eukaryota, Metazoa, Chordata, Mammalia, Rodentia, Caviidae. The transcript has 3 exons.
GUUCCCACCUGUCCUCAUGGACAUCUCAGCCUUAGAGAUAGGAGUAGAGUUGUCUGCUUUGAGGGUGCUGGGAGGCCUCCUCCCUUCCCUUCCUGAUCUGGGUAAAUCCCUCCCUGGUUCUUGAAAGGGUUUUGGCCCAGACAGGACUCUGUAGCUAGAAAAGCCUCAACCAGAACCAGGAAGCUCCUAUCUCCCCCACCCCUAGGAAUUUACCUGUGACGUCAUCUUCCCCACCCCUGGGAACUUACCUGUGGCACCAAACCUAGGACCAAUGGGCUACCCGUGCAUUCCUGAUACCCCCUUAGGUUCCACUCCAAACCCAGGCUACUUACAUACCCCCAACGCCACAUGUCUUCCAGAGAGAAAGCCAGACUCCAGCGGUCGGGUAUGCUGGUUCUCUCUUUUCAUGUUCUCAGAAUAAAGGCCUCUUUUGUUUUAUACUCCUCAUCUUUUGGAAAUAAUCCUAUCAUUUGGUGCCACGACUUGAUCGACAGGUGAUUGACUCCUGGGGCACACCCAGUUGAGUCACCAGCCGAUUCUCGAACCAAAUUAAAUCCUGCCACUUUUCCUCUCCCAGGAUCUUAACCUGUCACCGCCCACCUGCACUCAACACCGGCCAAUUAAUUUCAGGUGAGCACUCUCUGUAAAAUCCUUGGCGCUGGGCUCCACCCCACGUGAAUUUUCUCCCCCGUUCGCGUGGCUCUGUAAUGCUUCCACAUCCUUAGGACAGCCCAGGGAAGGGUCUUUCUGGGCAAACCUGUGUCCACAAAUCUCUCACCCUUUGGGUUCGGAUAGCCUGAGGCAGAGCUUUUGGACCGCCCACACUGUGGGGUCCUCAGUUCCCUUUAAAGCUUCACUCUCUCACGGGCAGAACUGUUACUGACCCACGUGGACUCCACUCGUACAUCUCUCAGUGACGACUGGAAUAUACGAGUUUUGGAACCUUACCUGCCAUGUGGUGCCACGAAACAAGUGAUGGCUUGCCUUCUGGACCACAGCUUCUUUCUUGUCUGAAUUAGUUAUGGGAAACGUGUUCUCUAACUCCCAAAAGAUGCCUCUACAAUGCCUAAUUUCCAAUGUACGUACUCUUAAGAUUAAAAGUACCAUAAAGACUAAGUGAUUAACUUCUUACUGCCAGGAGGUCUGGCCAACUAAUCCACUUAGCGGCGACCAUUGGCCCAGAGAGGGGACAUUUGACACCUACAUUCUCAAAAAUCUCUAUGAUUUUUGCUGGGCCAGUGACAGGUUGAUAGAACUCCCAUACAUCGAGGCCUUCCUGGUCCCGAGAACACGCCCGUCUCUCAUUAAGUCCGGUACUCCCACCCAGAUACUUUUGGCUAGCUCUGCUGCAAUGCAAACUGUUUCCUCUUGCCAGGAUUUGCUCAACGAUGUUCGGCCACCACCUGCCUACCCCCAAACUCGUUCCUCACGGUUACCUCCCGCCAUGGUUCUGCCCUCCCCUCCCCUGCUCUCUGAUUCUCUGAGCAGUACUGGUCCCUCUGUGCCUCAAUUGCCUCCCGCUGUGUGACUGUUUUCCUCUUCAUGUCCCGGGACCCAUAAUUCUCUCAGCAACUCUAAUCACUCUGUUAGUGCUUCCUCAAAGUCUCCGACUCAUUCUCCUGAUAAUUCUCUGACCUCUACGGCAUUCUUGCCGCCCGCUCACCAAACCCGAUCUGGGUCAUUGUGCCCUUCUGGCAAGCUGUGCUUGCACAGGGAACGUCGCCAUGUUACAGCUCUCCACCUCCUGACAGGGUGCCGCCAUCUUGGGACGGAUCUCACGGUCAGUGGGUGCACCCUGUGGCUCCUCUUGUGAACAGCAACAGCCACCCUGUUGUGGUGCACAUGACGCUUCAUUGUACUGUGGACAGCAAUUUUCUCACUGCAAAGCACACAGUGAGACGCAAUCUGCCUGUGUUUCCUCAUCCCAGGGUGACUGGCAGCUGCUCUGUAGCCACUCUACAGAUGAUUGCUAACAUGCAUCUACCAGAUGGAUGGCUGCCCAAUGGCUUCUACUCUCUUCUCCUCAGGCUCUGCUACCGCUUCGGGAGCAAGCUGGCCCCAAGGGACUGGUUAAUAUACAUGUGCCUUUCUCCCUUUCUGAUCUAUCCCAGAUUACCCACAAAUUAGUUAGCUUCUCUGUUGACCCACAGAAUUAUAUCAGGCAAUUUGAAUUUAUUACUAAUUGUUAUGAUUUACAUUUUAAGGAUGUUUAUGUGAUUUUAAAUACCACCCUCAACUCACAAGAGCGAAAUCAGCUGUGGCAAGCAGCUCAAGAAGAAGCCGACUGCAGGCAUAAGGCAAACACCGCUGAUAACGACCCUGGGCCUGUAGCUGUGCCACAACAAGAUCCUAACUGGAACUCUCAGAAUGGACAAGGUUCAUCAAAAUUACAUAAGAUGAUUGAGUGUCUGAUUGUGGGCCUUAAUAAUAUUGCUCACAAACAUACUAACUAUAACAAACUUUUAGAACAGGUCCAGGAGGCUAAUGAAAACCCAGCUGUGUUCCUAAAUCGGCUUCAGGAAACAUUACUUAAGUAUACUAAUGUAAACCCAGACUCUCAUGAAGGGAUGAUUGUUGUUAACUCUUAUUUUAUUUCCCAGUCUGCUCCUGAUAUUCGUGCAAAAUUACAAAAUGUUGUACAUGGCCCUCAGACUCUACAAAGGGGAUCUACUUAAAUUAGACUUCCAUAUCUUCAACAACAGAGGAGACUUCGUCAAUGCCAGAUUCGUCACUGACUGAUCUGCUCGGACUUGCUGCAUAAGACUGAUGGGGCUCGGGGCUCACAGCCCCCACUCCGGUAAACUGGUCGGAGCCCUGAGUCUCACUGGAGGUCUUAGGACUACCACCAAGGUGGAGUGGCCCCCAUCUGGUCUACUUGGCUACCCCUACAGUGGUCAAAGUUGCUGGACUCCCAUCCUGGUUUCACAUCACUCAGGCUAAGAGGUGCCCUCCCAGCCCUAAAUCUGAUCAUUCUGAGUGGUCAUCUCAUCUUCUGUCGCUCACCUGUCUCUGUUUCACGAAGGCCUCGCAGCCACAGUUAACAGGCUAAGUCAUGUUUUGUUAUCCACUUUGGUUCCUAAUUUCUUCCGUUCUAUUCAUGAUCAUUUCUACAGCAGGACUCUUGACAGUCUUUCCCAAAGACUCCCACAUCAUGCAUAAGAUCAUCUUCAUGAUGCUCUAUGCAAUGACUGUGGUAGUUCUGUCUACCCUCAGCUGUCUGGUUAAGCGUGACAUCCCUGAAAGCCUAAACUCUUACCUUCCCUAUACUGGUACAGCCACCACCUUCCCUACUCCCCCCAGUUUUUCCAGUUUAACUCCUGGACCAGAGCCAAGAUUUACACACCUACCCUCUUAAGUUUUAUGCUUUCAGAUGGGGGAGUAAUCACCUCUCAUAACAUCAUUUCUCCUAACCUCACACUAAAUUUUCAGAAUUCUAUGUCACUGUGACAAUGACACUACUUCAAUGUCAUCCUGAUAUAAUGACAUGGCUAAAAUCAAAGGCACGUUUCCCUCUACCUCAUCUGGCUCCUUAAAUAUGACAGUGCCACGUCUCCUCAUAACAUCUU